UUGCGCCUGUGGUGGUUCAGGCACGGGCUAAACAUAGCUUCGCAGGCAGCCGGUCCGUGUACGAUCUGGUAAAUCCAAGAAUUUUCUUGGAUUUAAGGACUUCU
Molecule: small RNA, 104 nt
Filed under: bovine gut metagenome
Description: RT-5 RNA
Rfam family: RT-5 RNA
About the family: Clostridium (Firmicutes). Environment (Cow rumen (57))
Source: RNAcentral